Molecule: ribosomal RNA, 497 nt
Filed under: uncultured bacterium
Lineage: Bacteria
Description: partial 16S ribosomal RNA
Rfam family: Bacterial small subunit ribosomal RNA
Source: RNAcentral
GAUGAACGCUGGCGGCGUGCCUAAUACAUGCAAGUCGAGCGAACAGACGAGGAGCUUGCUCCUCUGACGUUAGCGGCGGACGGGUGAGUAACACGUGGAUAACCUACCUAUAAGACUGGGAUAACUUCGGGAAACCGGAGCUAAUACCGGAUAAUAUAUUGAACCGCAUGGUUCAAUGGUGAAAGACGGUUUUGCUGUCACUUAUAGAUGGAUCCGCGCCGCAUUAGCUAGUUGGUAAGGUAACGGCUUACCAAGGCAACGAUGCGUAGCCGACCUGAGAGGGUGAUCGGUCACACUGGAACUGAGACACGGUCCAGACUCCUACGGGAGGCAGCAGUAGGGAAUCUUCCGCAAUGGGCGAAAGCCUGACGGAGCAACGCCGCGUGAGUGAUGAAGGUCUUCGGAUCGUAAAACUCUGUUAUUAGGGAAGAACAAAUGUGUAAGUAACUAUGCACGUCUUGACGGUACCUAAUCAGAAAGCCACGGCUAACUACGUG